This 997-nucleotide long non-coding RNA is filed under the name Homo sapiens (human). Its description in RNAcentral is "long intergenic non-protein coding RNA 1186". The record is from RNAcentral. Lineage: Eukaryota; Metazoa; Chordata; Mammalia; Primates; Hominidae.
AAGUCGAGAGCGUGGGAAACCAGCAAGUUGAGAGAGGAUCCAGAAGUAACCCCUUCUAAAACGGGAAAGAUGCCUUCCGAAAGGUGACCAAAUUCUUGUUUUAGAUGGUGGUGUUAAUUUGGGAGGUUGGAAGGGAGGCAGGUGGGAGAAGGGACAUGUCCCUUUCGAAGAGCCCCUUUGUUUCUUCUGUGGAGCACAGCUCUGUGGGAGGCAUCUGCUCUUUACCUAUAGACCGGAUGGCCUGGUACUGGUCUUCUCUAGACUGAAGGUCCUCCACCAGGUCUCCUGCUGCUGCUACCUAAGAAAGAAAUCUCACAAGGGUGUUAAAAGCACUUGGCCCUAAAGAGAAAACACUAGGAGGAUGGGAACCAGGGACAGAGAAGCUACUUGCUCUGCAGCUGUUUGGGCCAGUAUGUUCCCUAAUCUUGAUGGCCAUCCUGGGCUUAUUUUCCUGAGAGUCUCUAAGUGACUCACUGCAUCACGUAAAACUAAGAAAAAGGAUGUCCUGAAUUUUCCUGCUUAGAGAGCUUGUUUUUCUUUCCUGUUGCAUCAAAGGGGUCUGUUAAACUUUCUAAAAGUACUAAUCUGACCUGAUAUCUGAAGUAACAGAUAGGAAUUUGGGCUCUUUAAAUGGAGCCCUUCCCCCAUACCUGCAUCUCAUUGAAGAGGCUGAACUUCAAAACAAAAUCAUGUUGGAGAAUUAAGUCUCGUUCCCAGAUUUAAUUUCUUAUUUUUAUAUUGUUGCAUAAGAAAUCUACUCUAUAAGGCAUCUAUUUUCAAAUUUGGAAAAUCUUAUUUUAAGUUCAUUUAUUUAAAGACCAACAAACAAAAACACCAAAUUCACUAGCCCAGGUCUUUAUGGACCACCAUCUCCCCUCCCCGCCUCCAUUUCUCCCUGGAGUAGUGAUUGUGGGGCCACUGCAUGAAUUUUACUCUAUUAUUUAUCUAAUGAGCAAAGCCAAGGCUGGCAAUGCUGAGAAUGCAUGAGGGAAAAAAA